RNAcentral lists this long non-coding RNA (1441 nucleotides) under Sus scrofa (pig). RNAcentral describes it as "lncRNA (ENSSSCG00055005481.1)". The stretch from base 415 to 519 matches the Rfam family "Maternally expressed 3 conserved region 2". Lineage: Eukaryota; Metazoa; Chordata; Mammalia; Artiodactyla; Suidae. The record is from RNAcentral.
GCAGACGGCGGAGAGCUGGGAUGGAGCGCGCCUUGGCCCGCUGGCCUUGGCUGCAGCUCCUCGGGAGAGCCGGGGCGCCCACGCGAGAACCUCCCUACCUGAGGACGCUGGGAACACGGAUUCCUGGAUCCCACCAGCCUACGAAGAAAGCCACGGGUGGCGACCCCUGGGACCAGGACGACCAAGGAGGAGGACGACCAGAACUGACCAGCCAGCCCCCUUGGCUAAAGGCUUAGACCUGUGCCCUAGUGAGGGGGCAUUGGUCGCCAACCCCUGACCUUUGCUAUGCUUCUGCCUUGUUGCUCUGAUACUUGCCUCUAUGUCUCUGCCUGUGUUAACCUGCCAGCGCCCUGGAGGGUUGCCAUCCCCAGGGAGGUGUCAGUCUUUCUCGCUCCACUUGUUGUCGCCCGAAUGACGUCCUGAACGGAAGGGUCCCUUUGGGAACGUCUCGGGAGGCCGACCUGGGCCAAGGGCACAACCAGCAUCUCACUGGCAAUUCCAAGGCCCUGGGUGGGCUUCUGGAAUGAGCAUGAGCCCCGACGUCAUGCCACGGAACUGCCAGGGGCACCCCCCCUCCUUUGAGCUCUCCCUGUCCCUCCUGGGGGGACAGGGACGAGAAGAGCAGUCUCCCAGGGGGUUGUGAGUAUUGAAUGAGAUGAAGUCGCCUCGGGCAGGGCCAGGCAUAGAGGAGGCAGUCGGCAAAUGUUUGUUGAUAAAGUUUGGCCGAUCAGUCCAGCCCCGGCCCGCUCCCGUGUCUCACCGUCUCAUUUAUUCUCCCACAGCACUCCGGAUGGCCCCUGGCCACGGGGCUCUGCCCGCACCAGCCAAGCUUCUCGAAAGGUCUGUCUUCACUCGCUGGCUUCCUUGCUCACCUCCAAUGUCCUCUCCAACCCACUGCUUCUUGACCUCUGCGCCGUCGAGCGGCUCUCGCGAAGCUCCACAGAAAUCCAAGCCGCAGGUCGGCCUGUCCUCGACGCACUGGCAGCGAGCGUCGGCUGAAGAACCGGAUGGAAGAGGCGGGAGAGUCACCACGGACCGGCGUUCCUUCAGGUCGGUCGCCUGGCGUCUUCGGGCUGCGACUCCUUCCCGGAUCGGGCUGAAGCCAUCAUCUGUGUCCUCCGUCGGAAGGGACCUCAGACAUGUGGCUCCUGCACCCUCCAGCUCUGAAAUCGGCAGGCUAGGAUGCAAGUGGCCUUGCUGGGGGGCCCUUCCAAGGGCCGAGGGACCAGCCUCUCGAACGGGCUCGGCGCUCCAGUGACCUUCGCGUCCCCCUCCUCCUUGAAUUGUCUGGAAAACAGAAUGGACAGAUUUUCUGUCUUCAAAGUUUCCGGCUAAACCUCUUCAAAGUUCUUUAUUGUUUGGGACUGAGACACUCAGCAGUGCUAAUGGGUAGUUCCUUUUGUAUUUGCCCUGAAAGGCCAAAAUAUUUUUAUAUCGCUCC